This 253-nucleotide ribosomal RNA is filed under the name uncultured bacterium. RNAcentral's name for it is "partial 16S ribosomal RNA". It matches the Rfam family "Bacterial small subunit ribosomal RNA", at positions 524 to 776 of the family's 1533-position model. The record is from RNAcentral.
UACGUAGGGGGCAAGCGUUGUCCGGAUUUAUUGGGCGUAAAGGGUGCGUAGGCGGCCCCGUAAGUCCGCUGUGAAAGUCAAAGGCUCAACCUUUGAAAGCCGGUGGAUACUGUGGGGCUAGAGUCCGGAAGAGGCGAGUGGAAUUCCUGGUGUAGCGGUGGAAUGCGCAGAUAUCAGGAGGAACACCAAUAGCGAAGGCAGCUCGCUGGGACGGUACUGACGCUAAGGCGCGAAAGCGUGGGGAGCGAACAGG